RNAcentral lists this unclassified non-coding RNA (252 nucleotides) under Hevea brasiliensis (rubber tree). The record is from RNAcentral. Lineage: Eukaryota; Viridiplantae; Streptophyta; Magnoliopsida; Malpighiales; Euphorbiaceae.
GGAAUUCUGCAGCUCAUCUUAUGGGCUGUCUGGGCAGGGGUUACUCGCCAUCCAUCACGCUGGAAAUUAUGGGUGGUAGUGAUUGGUGGAGCUCUUGCUGCACUUCUUGAGAUAUAUGACUUUCCUCCCUAUAGAGGAUUUGUGGAUGCCCAUGCUCUAUGGCAUGCCACCACCAUUCCUCUGACCUACUUGUGGUGGAGCUUUGUGCGGGAUGACAGUGAAUUCAGGACAACAACUCUCAUCAAGAAAGCA